RNAcentral lists this ribosomal RNA (1146 nucleotides) under uncultured organism. Its description in RNAcentral is "bacterial SSU rRNA". It matches the Rfam family "Bacterial small subunit ribosomal RNA", at positions 288 to 1419 of the family's 1533-position model. The record is from RNAcentral.
GGGACUGAGAGGUUGACCCGGCGCAUCGGGACUGAGACACUGCCCGGACUCCUACGGGAGGCUGCAGUAACGAAUAUUGGGCAAUGGGCGAAAGCCUGACCCAGCGACGCCGCGUGUGGGAAGAAUGCCUUCGGGUUGUAAACCACUGUCAGGGAUUACCAACCAACCGGUGUGAAUAGCGCCGGGAGUUGAGGAGUCCCAGAGGAAGUCACGGCUAACUUCGUGCCAGCAGCCGCGGUAAUACGAAGGUGGCUAGCGUUGUUCGGAAUCACUGGGCUUAAAGAGCACGUAGGCGGAUGAUCAAGCGUCUUGUGAAAGCCCUCGGCUCAACCGGGGAAUUGCUUGGCGAACUGAUCAUCUUGAGGCAGGUAGGGGCGAGUGGAACUCUUGGUGGAGCGGUGGAAUGCUUAGAUAUCAAGAGGAACGCCAGAGGCGAAGGCGACUCGCUGGGCCUGACCUGACGCUGAGGUGCGAAAGCCAGGGGAGCGAACGGGAUUAGAUACCCCGGUAGUCCUGGCCCUAAACGAUGUCCACUAGGUCGGUGAGGUUCUAAUGCUUUGCUGGCCGAAACAAAAGCGUUAAGUGGACCGCCUGGGGAGUACGGUCGCAAGGCUAAAACUCAAAGGAAUUGACGGGGGCUCACACAAGCGGUGGAGCAUGUUGCUUAAUUCGAUGCAACGCGAAGAACCUUAUCCUGGGCUUGACAUACACGGAUGCCCUCCUGGAAACAGGUCGGGUUGCCCUUCGGGGUGAAACGUACACAGGUGCUGCAUGGCUGUCGUCAGCUCGUGUCGUGAGAUGUUGGGUUAAGUCCCGUAACGAGCGAAACCCUUGUCGCUAGUUGCCAGCGCGUAAUGGCGGGGACUCUAGCGAGACUGCCGGUGUUAAACCGGAGGAAGGUGGGGAUGACGUCAAGUCCUCAUGGCCUUUAUGCCCAGGGCUGCAAACGUGCUACAAUGGUAGGGACAGAGCGACGCAAGACCGUGAGGUGGAGCAAAUCGCAAAAACCCUGCCCCAGUUCGGAUCGGAGUCUGCAACUCGACUCCGUGAAGUCGGAAUCGCUAGUAAUCGCGCAUCAGCGUGGCGCGGUGAAUGUGUUCCUGAGCCUUGUACACACCGCCCGUCAAGUCAUGGAAGCUGGGAGCA